Molecule: ribosomal RNA, 468 nt
Filed under: uncultured bacterium
Lineage: Bacteria
Description: partial 16S ribosomal RNA
Rfam family: Bacterial small subunit ribosomal RNA
Source: RNAcentral
GACGAACGCUGGCGGCGUGCUUAACACAUGCAAGUCGAACGGAAAGGCCCUGCUUUUGUGGGGUGCUCGAGUGGCGAACGGGUGAGUAACAAGUGAGUAACCUGCCCUCGACUUUGGGAUAACUUCAGGAAACUGGGGCUAAUACCGGAUAGGAGCUCCUGCUGCAUGGUGGGGGUUGGAAAGUUUCGGCGGUUGGGGAUGGACUCGCGGCUUAUCAGCUUGUUGGUGGGGUAGUGGCUUACCAAGGCUUUGACGGGUAGCCGGCCUGAGAGGGUGACCGGCCACAUUGGGACUGAGAGACGGCGCAGACUCCUACGGGAGGCAGCAGUGGGGAAUAUUGCACAAUGGGCGGAAGCCUGAUGCAGCGACGCCGCGUGCGGGAUGAAGGCCUUCGGGUUGUAAACCGCUUUCGCCUGUGACGAAGCGUGAGUGACGGUAAUGGGUAAAGAAGCACCGGCUAACUACGUG